Molecule: ribosomal RNA, 497 nt
Filed under: uncultured bacterium
Lineage: Bacteria
Description: partial 16S ribosomal RNA
Rfam family: Bacterial small subunit ribosomal RNA
Source: RNAcentral
GAUGAACGCUGGCGGCGUGCCUAAUACAUGCAAGUCGAGCGAACGGACGAUAAGCUUGCUUCUUUGAUGUUAGCCGCGGACGUGUGAGUAACACGUUGAUAACCUACUUAUCUGACUGGGAUCACUUCGGGACUCCUGAGCUAAUACCGGAUAAUCUUUUGAUCCGCAUUGUUCCAAAGUGAAUGACGGUCUUGUUGUCUCUUAUAGCUGGAUCCGCGCUGCAUUAGCUAGUAGGUAAGGUAACGGCUUACCAAGGCAACGAUGCAUAGCCGACCUGAGAGGGUGAUCGCCCACACUGGAACUGAGACACGGUCCAGACUCCUACGGGAGGCAGCAGUAGGGAAUCUUCCGCAAUGGGCGAAAGCCGGACGGAGUAACGCCGCGUGAGUGAUGAAGUUCUUCGGAUCGUAAAACUCGGUUAUUAGGGAAAAACAGAUGUGUAAGGAACUGUGCACAUCGUGACGGUACCUAAUCAGAAAGCCACGGCUAACUACGUG